UACGGAGGGUGCAAGCGUUAUCCGGAUUCACUGGGUUUAAAGGGUGCGUAGGUGGGUCUGUAAGUCAGUGGUGAAAUCUCCGGGCUCAACCCGGAAACUGCCAUUGAUACUACAGGUCUUGAAUGUUCUGGAGGAUAGCGGAAUAUGUCAUGUAGCGGUGAAAUGCUUAGAUAUGACAUAGAACACCAAUUGCGAAGGCAGCUAUCUAAAGGAAUAUUGACACUGAGGCACGAAAGCGUGGGGAUCAAACAGG
Molecule: ribosomal RNA, 253 nt
Filed under: uncultured bacterium
Lineage: Bacteria
Description: partial 16S ribosomal RNA
Rfam family: Bacterial small subunit ribosomal RNA
Source: RNAcentral